UGUGCAUCUCCAGCCAGAGAGGAGGACGAGCAAAGCUUUCCACAGUGUUUCUUCAUGUGCCUAAUCAUCCCAGGCAUGCCUCUGGUUUCCUCCCUGGCCCUCCAAGCUCAUAGUUUGUUUCCUUCUGUGGUGAAUGUGGGCACGUCUCGCAGCUCAGGGUGGAGAGCCAUGAAUCAUAAGCAAGAGGCGCUAAGAACACUGCGUUUCUGCUGCUUCCCCCACAAGUCCCAGACAGCCUCGUGGGAUCCAACUCUGACCCCAGUGGAGUUCUUCAUCCAUGACUGGUGCCUUCAGGAAUGUGUCUGUGGGCAGCAAGAAGAGUUUCAAAUGCAGUAGAAUGGGGCCACUGACUUUUUUCCUUUCUUUCCAGGCUGGAUGGCAAGAGGGCCCUGAAGGUUGGUGAACUGCACGAGUAGGUAGACACAGAGGCCCGAGGCCUGCUGCUGAGUCAUUUCAAUCUGUUUCAGAUUCGAUUUGCUCAGUGCAUGGAGAAGAACAAGGCUCCCAGUGGAGAUAUCAUGUAGCUAGAGCCUAGAAGUAUUUUCUUAAUAGAUGAAAUUUAGAAAGAAUUUGAAUCUUCUGUGCUGGGGAGGUAGGUCGCCGAGUGAAAUGGUUGGGAAAAGGAAACAUUUGGCUCCAGUGAUUCCAAAGGACAUUUCACUGAUCUAAAUAUUUGUCCAGCUGAAUUACUAUGUCCACUGUCACCUGCCUGGAAUCAAUAUGUUCAAAUCAAACACUGUCAUCGGCAUCUGAGCGUGGAGAAAGAACUUCUUAAACCUGAGCUGGCAACUGGGAGGGUGAGAGAGGAAUCAGACAAGGAGCUAGGACAGGGGAGCUCUUUGCCACCAAGUGGGGGACCUGCAACAAUGGUCAAACCCCUAGAGUUCGCAUCUGGAUCCCGUGAUUCAGUGACAAGCUUCAGAUCGUCGAGGUGCGGUGAAUAACUUUGAUGGUCAGGACAGCGUAUGCAUUUUUUGAAAAAGACUUUACCUGUUGGAACAAACACUUGCUCUUUUUGCUUUAGCCUUGAACCUCUCAGGAUGCAGACAGACCACUGUGCUCGGAAGGCGCGGACAAAGCUGAGCAUACCGUUCUCCUCACUUUUUGAGGAGUUUUCUUAAGAUGCCUGUGUCAAGGCCUUUUGAUUCUGAGUCAUGUGAGUGUUCUCCAAGGGGAAAAAAAAAAGGAGCACUUUUCGAUUUCACACUGUUUCUCACCAAAUGCAUGCAAGUUGGCACAACAGGUAGCCCAGAUGUUUACAGCCCCUGUGGCGGGUUCACAGAGGCACUAGCACCUUCCCAGGCCCUGCCUUACAUGCAGUGUGGAAUUAGGUGGUGAACCCAUGACAGUGCGGGAGAAUCAGGAAGGACCAGAGUCCCGCGGCUCCCAUCGGCGACAGAGGAGUCUGCACAUUUGUGUGGACAGCAGUGUGCCCAGGGGCCGGUUCCUGCCACUCCUGUCACCACAGCUAUGCAGCCAAGGACACGUUGGAUCUUGUGACCCACCCUCUGUGGACUGAAGGAAAAGCGCUUCUGGGCCCUAUACAUGCUCUUUACGUGCUUGUCCGGAAAGGAGAAGGUAGCAAGAUGCAGUGACCAUUUUUGUCAUCGUUCUUAAUGUGGUAGAGUGAUUGCAAAAAUGUCCCCAACUCUUCACCCUUCCUCGAAGCCACACCUCUGCAGCGUGACGUUGCAUUUCCUCCCGCCAGUAAGUGUCUCCCUGCGCUUGUAAAUCUGGACUGGUCUUGUGACUCACUUUGACCAACAGAAUAUAGGGUCAGUGAUGGUGUGCCAGUUCUAAGCCUCAGCCUCAAGAGGCAUUGAGCACUUGUGCCCUUUCUCUUGGACCCGUGGUUGACCUAUGAUUGUGCUCUUUCUCCUGGACCACGGGACCACCGUGGUCCUGGGGGGACCUGGACCACCAGCAUCUGCGCUGCUGGAUGAAAGAGACACUGCCCCGGUCCCCCUGUCACUCUCGCUGAGAGCCAAACAACUGCCAGACUUCUGAGUGAGGCCUUCCUAGACCUAGCAGCCCUUGGCCCAUCUGCCCGCUGACCACAGAUCCGAGGAAGCCAAAUCAGGAUCAACCAAACCUGGCCCAAGUUAGCAGCACUGCCCGGCUGAGCCGUAGACCUGUGAGCAAAAGCAAAUGCCUGUCGUGGUUCCCUUCACCUUUCCUGCCCAGAAUGUCCAUUCAUUCAUUCGAAAAUUCACGUUGAUGCUUAAAUUGUGCAAGGCACUGCUUCAGGCCCUAAGGAUAUAAAAUGGUGCAAUGAGGAGCCUGUGGAGAAUUUAAAGCAAAGGAGGAACAGGAUCUGACCUACAUGAGUCUGAACCAUCAGGAAGGAUGGGCCAACAAGAGUAGAAGGAAGGAGAUCAUUUAGGAGGCUCUUGCGGUCACACAGGUAAGAGAUGUUGGAGGCCUGGAGCACCAUGGGGGCCACAGGGAUGGUGAGAGGUACACAGGCGCUGGGGAGGUCUCAAAGCAACCGUCAUCUACAGGUCUGCAGUUGGGCUGAAUGGAGGAGAAAAGCAAGGGGCCGAGAAGGAUUCUAGGACUAGACUAGCCACAGAGGUGCCAUUUACUGAGACAGAGGACACAGGGGCAGGAGCAUAUUUACGGGAGAAAAUCAAGAUUUCAGUGCUGGACAUUAAAAGUUUGAGAGGCCUCUUCAACAUCUAAGGGAAUAUGACUAUAAAGCAAUACAUAACAGAGUAUAUGAGUGUGGGUUUCCAAAAUGGACCAGGGCUUAAGAAUAGGGGUAUACAUUUGAGAGACAUGACUCUAACGAUGGUAUUUAAAGCCACAGAACUGGAUGAGAUUCCCCAAAGUAAGGAUGUGGAUGGAGAAGAAGAGGAGUCAAGGUGCAGAUCCCGAGGCAAAGCAACACUUAGGGGUCCAGCCGAGGAUUCUAAGGAAGAAAACCCAGUAGAGAAAAACCAAGAGGGUAUGAAAUUACAAAAGGCAAGAGAGUGUUAAGCAAUGAGGGUAUGAGUUACAAUUGCUAUAGUCACUGGGCUUACUUCACAAGAACACCAUUAUCAGGAAACCAGCAUUAUACCCAAUCACCCACCUGUCAACCCCAGGAGCCAUUUCAGCAUUCACUCCUCAGAUAUAUCAGUGUUAUGGGUUGCACUGUGUCAAUAAAAUAAGUUAUGUUGGAGUCCUCA
This is a long non-coding RNA of Leopardus geoffroyi (Geoffroy's cat), 3170 nucleotides long. RefSeq lists it as uncharacterized. NCBI's taxonomy places the organism in Eukaryota, Metazoa, Chordata, Mammalia, Carnivora, Felidae. The record is from RefSeq and is a predicted model, not a curated record. The transcript is spliced from 3 exons.